Molecule: ribosomal RNA, 508 nt
Filed under: Acidimicrobiales bacterium
Lineage: Bacteria; Bacillati; Actinomycetota; Acidimicrobiia; Acidimicrobiales
Description: bacterial SSU rRNA
Rfam family: Bacterial small subunit ribosomal RNA
Source: RNAcentral
UGGUGUACAGGUGGUGCAUGGCUGUCGUCAGCUCGUGUCGUGAGAUGUUGGGUUAAGUCCCGCAACGAGCGCAACCCUUGUCCUGUAUUGCCAGCGGGUUAUGCCGGGGACUUGCAGGAGACUGCCGGGGUCAACUCGGAGGAAGGUGGGGAUGACGUCAAGUCAUCAUGCCCCUUAUGUCCAGGGCUUCACACAUGCUACAAUGGCCGGUACAAAGGGCUGCGAAAUCGCGAGAUGGAGCGAAUCCCAAAAAACUGGUCUCAGUUCGGAUUGGGGUCUGCAACUCGACCCCAUGAAGUCGGAGUCGCUAGUAAUCGCAGAUCAGCAAUGCUGCGGUGAAUACGUUCCCGGGCCUUGUACACACCGCCCGUCAAGUCACGAAAGUCGGUAACACCCGAAGCCGGUGGCCCAACCCUUGUGGGGGGAGCCGUCGAAGGUGGGACUGGCGAUUGGGACUAAGUCGUAACAAGGUAGCCGUACCGGAAGGUGCGGCUGGAUCACCUCCUUU